RNAcentral lists this long non-coding RNA (1285 nucleotides) under Neogobius melanostomus (round goby). RNAcentral's name for it is "lncRNA (ENSNMLG00000007988.1)". The record is from RNAcentral. Lineage: Eukaryota; Metazoa; Chordata; Actinopteri; Gobiiformes; Gobiidae.
GAGAUAUUAAAAAAAUUAAUCAAUUAAACUUCAAUUAUAUUUGGAAAAAUAAAGUCCAUUAUAUAAAAAAAUCUGAAAUUGUCAAAGAAUACGAGGAUGGUGGCCUACAAGCAAUUGAUUUUGAAUGUCUAAAUAUUGUCCUAAAAAUGAAAUGGCUGAAGUCCUUCAUAACAGAGAAGAACAGUGUAUGGUUUUGUCUGUCCAGGGGGUUAUUUGAGAAAAUAGGAGGUAUUGAGUUUGUCCUUGCAUGCGACUUUAAUAUUGAGAAACUUCCAAUUAAGUUGUCAUCUUUUCACAAGCAAGUUCUGUUAAGCUGGAAACUUAUGUACAACCACAAUUUUACUCCGCAUCAAACACCAAUAUGGAAUAACAGAUAUGUGUUGUGUAAUAGAAAAUCUUUGUUUUUGCAACAUUGGAUGGAUAAAGGAGUGUGGUCCCUACGCCACCUAAUGGACAGACAGGGUAAUUGGUUAUCAUACGAGAACUUCAUCUCCACUUACAAUAUAACAUGCAAAAGAACUGAAUUUAAAAAAAUAUGCAAAGCUAUUCCCCAAUCUGUUAAACAAUUAAUUGAAAAUACUGAUUUGAGGAGUUUACCUCCUCCUAAAUUAGCAACACUAUAUAUCAAUGAGCAAGAUUUUAUGGGAAAAGAGAUACCAAACAAAACUAUGCGAAAAUGUCUGAAUGAUCACUUUUAUCCAAUCAAAUCUAACAGGAACUCAAUUGUUCAAAAAUUUUCAAAAGAACAGAUUAAAAAUAUAAGAACUAAAUAUUUAAAAUUUCCCGUCAGUCCAAAAACUAAGGAAGUUCAUUUCAAAAUUUUGAAUGCGAUAUAUCCAUCCAGUGAGCUUCUUAGAGUAAGGUUUGGUAUAGAAUAUAACAAUUGUACUUUCUGUGACUCAGACAUUGAAACCACUGAACAUCUGUUUUAUCAAUGUAUGUACACAAGCACAUUUUGGGAAGACUUUAUGGACUGGUUAUCUUCGAAAAUCCAGCUGCAGCAGGACUCUCUUACAUUGGACAAUAUAAUUUUUGGGAUUUCCCUGAAGGACUCACAGACAGACUAUGCUUUGAACAAUUUAUUAAUCCUUUCGAAGUAUUUUAUUCAUUCUUGCAAAUGGAAAAAAGUCAAGCCUAUUUUCACAGUGUUUAAGAGACAACUUGAAGGAAACUAUCUGAUAUCUUUAAAAUGUAUGAAAUGUAAAUCUGCACUAUCUCUUCUUAAUGUAUUUGACAAUCUGAAUGUUUUUGAAGAAAACCUCUAACGGAAACUGCUUAGUGUGAG